AUAAAUAUCAGGCAAACUUAACGAAAGUUAAGGACGCAAAGCUACGGGUCUAAAGUAGAUAUACAAUGAUCGCCGGGUUGCAGGA
This 85-nucleotide non-coding RNA is filed under the name Halolactibacillus alkaliphilus. RNAcentral's name for it is "c-di-GMP-I riboswitch aptamer". It matches the Rfam family "c-di-GMP-I riboswitch aptamer". Rfam says of the family: GEMM was predicted in a large-scale screen for bacterial structured RNA regulatory elements. Genes associated with GEMM are involved in a diverse array of functions, including chemotaxis regulation, signal transduction, secretion and chitin. The record is from Rfam by way of RNAcentral. Lineage: Bacteria; Bacillati; Bacillota; Bacilli; Caryophanales; Bacillaceae.